GAUGAACGCUAGCGGCAGGCUUAAUACAUGCAAGUCGAACGGGAAUUGGGUAGCAAUACCUGAUGAUAGUGGCGCACGGGUGCGUAACGCGUAUGCAACCUACCUUUAACAGGGGGAUAGCCCGGAGAAAUUCGGAUUAAUACCCCAUAGUAUUAUGGAGAGGCAUCUUUUCAUGAUUAAAGUUCCGGCGGUUAAAGAUGGGCAUGCGUGCCAUUAGCUAGUUGGUGAGGUAACGGCUCACCAAGGCGACGAUGGUUAGGGGUCCUGAGAGGGUUAUCCCCCACACUGGUACUGAGACACGGACCAGACUCCUACGGGAGGCAGCAGUGAGGAAUAGUUGGUCAAUGGGCGGAAGCCUGAACCAGCCAUGCCGCGUGCAGGAUGACGGCCCUACGGGUUGUAAACUGCUUUUCCCCGGGGCGAACUAACCCCCUCGCGAGGGGGAGUGGCCGGUACCGGGGGAAUAAGGGAUCGGCUAACUCCGUG
This 486-nucleotide ribosomal RNA is filed under the name uncultured bacterium. Its description in RNAcentral is "bacterial SSU rRNA". It matches the Rfam family "Bacterial small subunit ribosomal RNA", at positions 28 to 507 of the family's 1533-position model. The record is from RNAcentral.